This 50-nucleotide transfer RNA is filed under the name Pseudochirops albertisii (D'Albertis' ringtail). RNAcentral describes it as "partial tRNA-Pro". The record is from RNAcentral. Lineage: Eukaryota; Metazoa; Chordata; Mammalia; Diprotodontia; Pseudocheiridae.
AGAAUNUCAGCUUUGGGUGUUGAUGGUGGGGUGGAUAGCCUUCUUCUUGA